Molecule: ribosomal RNA, 429 nt
Filed under: Gemmatimonadota bacterium
Lineage: Bacteria; Pseudomonadati; Gemmatimonadota
Description: Gemmatimonadetes bacterium partial 16S ribosomal RNA
Rfam family: Bacterial small subunit ribosomal RNA
Source: RNAcentral
UAGGGAAUCUUCGGCAAUGGACGAAAGUCUGACCGAGCAACGCCGCGUGAGUGAAGAAGGUUUUCGGAUCGUAAAACUCUGUUGUUAGAGAAGAACAAGGACGUUAGUAACUGAACGUCCCCUGACGGUAUCUAACCAGAAAGCCACGGCUAACUACGUGCCAGCAGCCGCGGUAAUACGUAGGUGGCAAGCGUUGUCCGGAUUUAUUGGUCGUAAAGCGAGCGCAGGCGGUUUCUUAAGUCUGAUGUGAAAGCCCCCGGCUCAACCGGGGAGGGUCAUUGGAAACUGGGAGACUUGAGUUCAGAAGAGGAGAGUGGAAUUCCAUGUGUAGCGGUGAAAUGCGUAGAUAUAUGGAGGAACACCAGUGGCGAAGGCGGCUCUCUGGUCUGUAACUGACGCUGAGGCUCGAAAGCGUGGGGAGCAAACAGG